RNAcentral lists this ribosomal RNA (745 nucleotides) under uncultured bacterium. Its description in RNAcentral is "bacterial SSU rRNA". It matches the Rfam family "Bacterial small subunit ribosomal RNA", at positions 66 to 825 of the family's 1533-position model. The record is from RNAcentral.
AUGAUGGGAGCUAGCUUGCUAGAAAAGUCAUGGCGGACGGGUGAGUAACGUGUAAAGAACUUACCAUAUAGACUGGGAUAACAGAGGGAAACUUCUGAUAAUACUGGAUAAGUUAGAAGUAGCAUUACUAAGUAAUGAAAGGUAGCAAUACGCUAUAUGAGAGCUUUGCAUCCUAUUAGCUAGUUGGUGGGGUAAAAGCCUACCAAGGCGAUGAUAGGUAGCCGGCCUGAGAGGGUGGACGGCCACAAGGGGACUGAGAUACGGCCCUUACUCCUACGGGAGGCAGCAGUGGGGAAUAUUGGACAAUGGAGGCAACUCUGAUCCAGCAAUUCUGUGUGUGUGAAGAAGGUUUUAGGACUGUAAAACACUUUUAGUAGGGAAGAAAGAAAUGACGGUACCUACAGAAGAAGCGACGGCUAAAUACGUGCCAGCAGCCGCGGUAAUACGUAUGUCGCGAGCGUUAUCCGGAAUUAUUGGGCUUAAAGGGCAUCUAGGCGGUUAAACAAGUUGAAGGUGAAAACCUGUGGCUCAACCAUAGGCUUGCCUACAAAACUGUAUAACUAGAGUACUGGAAAGGUGGGUGGAACUACACGAGUAGAGGUGAAAUUCGUAGAUAUGUGUAGGAAUGCCGAUGAUGAAGAUAACUCACUGGACAGCAACUGACGCUGAAGUGCGAAAGCUAGGGGAGCAAACAGGAUUAGAUACCCUGGUAGUCCUAGCUGUAAACGAUGAUCACUGGGUGUGG